Molecule: long non-coding RNA, 524 nt
Filed under: Homo sapiens (human)
Lineage: Eukaryota; Metazoa; Chordata; Mammalia; Primates; Hominidae
Description: non-protein coding lnc-FH-4:11
Source: RNAcentral
UGCUUUUAUAAAGCUUGAUAGAAGAAAACAAAAAUGCAUUUUCUGGUUCUUGUUUUCUUUCUUUUUUAUUUUUUUCAAAGAGACAGGGUCUCUCUCUGUCACCCAGGCUGGAGUGCAGUGGUGCAAUGGAGUUCACUGCAGCCUCAACCUCCUGGGCUCAAGCGAUCCUCCCACUUUAGCCUCCCAGGUAGCUGGGACUAUAGGCGUGCAGCACUAUGUCUGGCUAAUUUUUUUUUUUUUUCUAGAGACGAGGUCUCACUAAUGUUGCCCAGGCUGAUCUUGAACUCCUGGUCUCAAGCAGUCCUCCCGCCUCGGCCUCCCAAAGAGCUGGAAUUAGAGGCUUGAGCUACCAUGCCCAUCCUGGUUCUUCUUAAGAGGGAUACUCUCUAAGCACAUCCCUGGCUUUUCCCCACCCCUUUAUUAAUGCUUGACCUAAGAAAUUGGAGUGAUUCAUUUCAUCAGUAACUUUCAGAAAAAUAUCUGAGUGAGGGUGGACAGCAUGGCGGGGAUACCCAGUCCCAUGC